Molecule: ribosomal RNA, 253 nt
Filed under: uncultured bacterium
Lineage: Bacteria
Description: partial 16S ribosomal RNA
Rfam family: Bacterial small subunit ribosomal RNA
Source: RNAcentral
UACAGAGGGGGCAAGCGUUGUUCGGAAUUACUGGGCGUAAAGGGCGCGUAGGCGGCCUGCUAAGUCGAACGUGAAAUCCCCGGGCUCAACCCGGGAACUGCGUCCGAUACUGGUUGGCUUGAAUCCGGGAGAGGGAUGUGGAAUUCCUGGUGUAGCGGUGAAAUGCGCAGAUAUCAGGAGGAACACCGAUGGCGAAGGCAGCUCGCUGGGACGGUACUGACGCUGAGGCGCGAAAGCGUGGGGAGCAAACAGG